UACGGGGGGGGCAAGCGUUGUUCGGAAUUACUGGGCGUAAAGGGCUCGUAGGUGGCCAACUAAGUCAGACGUGAAAUCCCUCGGCUUAACCGGGGAACUGCGUCUGAUACUGGAUGGCUAGAGAUUGGGAGAGGGGUGCGGAAUUCCAGGUGUAGCGGUGAAAUGCGUAGAUAUCUGGAGGAACACCGGUGGCGAAGGCGGCAUCCUGGACCAACACUGACGCUGAGGAGCGAAAGCCAGGGGAGCAAACGGG
This 253-nucleotide ribosomal RNA is filed under the name uncultured bacterium. Its description in RNAcentral is "partial 16S ribosomal RNA". It matches the Rfam family "Bacterial small subunit ribosomal RNA", at positions 524 to 776 of the family's 1533-position model. The record is from RNAcentral.